UCCUUCACAGUUCAAGGUAAGCCU
This 24-nucleotide non-coding RNA is filed under the name Gossypium hirsutum (cotton). The record is from RNAcentral. Lineage: Eukaryota; Viridiplantae; Streptophyta; Magnoliopsida; Malvales; Malvaceae.